AGAAACUUUAGGGUGUUUUCUAUCCAAAGCCAAUAAUUAUAUGCAUAUUCUAGUUGCUGGGCAGGAGUAGUAACCAGAUUAAAUCGGGUACGUUUUUUAUCCAGCCGUGUCAAUACUGCCCCCUAGCCCUAACAGGUUAAGAUUCAUACUGUCAUGACUGUCCUGAUCAGGUUAUGUUACAGGAGACUACAACUCUACAGAGUAUCUCUCACCCCCAACAGAGGAGGAGCGAUCUAGGGGUCUGAAGAUGUGGGGGUUUUAUGACCCCUCACGCCCAUGAUAAAUCUCAGGCCACAGACAAAAAUUCCUUUGUCCUCUCACUAUGGAAAACCAGCCUCAGAACAUUAAACAUGCAAUAAAGGGACUUUGGAACAAUGGUUUCCGUCAGCCACAAUGGUGGUCAUGACGAUAGAUGGAAUAUAAAAAUGUAAUUUUUGUGUUGUUACUAAAGGUUAAUCGGUGAUGUUAUUACGAAAACAUUGUAACUUUAAGAGUUUUCCCAGUAUAUGCCUGAUGUUUAUACAUUGUACAUUGUGUGGAAAAUGUUCAAAUCAAAGAGAAUGUUUUGGUAAAGAUGAAAUGUGAAGUUAGUUGUCUAAAAUUGGAUUUGAGUAAAAUCUAGACCUUGCCUCUUAACUUGGUACGCCCAGAGAAUUGCCCUAAAGGCGGUUACGCCCACUUCUGACCCGAGGGUAUAAGACAUGGGGGUUAAGAAUGAACAGAACAGGCUAAGUGACCCAAGCUGCAGCCAAGGUCUAAAAAGUCAACGAACCCCAAAACGCAACACAAGGAAGAAGACAAAGAAAUAUUUUUCUACCAAUGCUAUGGAUGAGUAGCCGUGUCUAAGCGGGUGAAUUCAAGCCGAACCACCUAGCCUACACUCCCCAUCGAAUCGUGGUAUCUACGCUGAGCUACGGAGCUGUCUGUCCUCAGACGACCCCUAUCAGAGCAAGGGCGAGGAAUCGGACCACUAAGCCAAAAGAACACUGACAUCGUGAGGACAACCAGAGAGUUGCGCCGGAGAAGUGCGUCAUUGAGAAGCCUAAACGACCCACGCAGAGCUUCCCAUCUGAGACCUCCAACACGUAAUUACAUCAUUAUAUUCUGACCCAUAAGAGUGGCAGUUCGGGGCAAGGCUAGGGUUAAAAUAAGCAUAGCUGACGAAUGCACCCAAAUGUAUAUUUCUCUCGUGUACGUUCUCUUUUUCUUUCUCUUUUAAAUCCCCAUUUUGGGUAACACGCACCAUAGUGUGUUGGCCCGUUAUACUAAGUCCUAAUCAAUAGCCUAGACUGUCUUUUGUGUAUGUGUAUCUUUUAUCAUCAUUUUAGCUUUCUAGUAAAUAAAUAAUCAACUAAGAUUGGUGUGGUACGAACUCAUUGGUGGGACCCGGGUCUGUGCAGAUUCCCGGAUUAUGCGACGUUCAGAAUGAGACUGUAGAGGAAAUUGAUUAAUUAGUGAAUGUUGUAAAAUCGAUAUUCUGAUAUUCUUUGAGUGAAUUUGGGAAAUGGAAACUCAAUAAAACUAAUGUUCCCAUGGUGCCCCAGGUUAAUGAGUUAAUAAUUGCUUGAUUCAUUUAAUCACGCAAUUUUAAACCGUUAAUCAUUCGAUGAGCAACAGUCGUCACAUUAACUAAUACAACGUCACGACAAUAUGUAAUGCUUUAGAGGAAUCAAUAUGUAUUAACUGGGUUGGCACUGUCUUAGUCCCCAGUAGAUGUCGCGCUCCGUCCAUAAUAAGUCUGGCACCUGAGACAACAGGGAAACAGAUGCAGUUCCAUAUUGCCUACUCACAAGUUGGUUUAGAAUGUCAUCAUUUGGGAUAUCAACAAAAACUCUAUCAGGAGCACAAUAAAUAUUAACCUUUUAAGUUCUGAUAACAGAAAAUCAUGUUCAACAUUCAUUGGUUCUAUUUUACAGGGUAUGGGCUUAUUUCAAAAUGCAUUAUCAUGGUGGGGGAAAUCUUCUAAGAACUUAUAGUUUUUAUUGGUUAGGGGUAAGUCAAGUCCCGUACAAUGCUUUAACCUUAUCAUUUCUCAAAUGAACCAUAAAGGGAUCACUCUAAACAUUUCUCAGAAUACUUUUUUUCACCACUUGCGUGUGGGUGUGCUAGUUGUAUAUUAUUAUUUCUGUUCUAUUCUUAGUUCAUCAGAUAAUCAUAAAAACACAUUAUACAAAUAUUAUUUUACUUUAUCUCUAGUAUAAUCUGGGAAUAUCUCAUAUCAUAUCUCCAUACAUAAUAACAUUAUACAUUAAACUCCACCUGUGGAUCCAACAGCUGUGUUGGACAGACCCAUAGUUAACAUUACAGAUGGAAAAACUCAGCUCACACAAAUGUUGGGGGCAUUCAUUCAUCUCUUUCACACAUCUUUCACACAUGAGCUAGUCCCCUGAAAGCUCUCAUUCAUUCAAUACUUAAUAGCUCAAUUUCAAACCUCUUAUAUCCAAAUUUCAAUCAAUCAUUUUAUUAUCUAAAUUCCAAACAGCUUAACACCCACAUUUCAAUCAAUCAGUUUUUUAAUAUCAAAAUUUCAAUCAGCUUAACACGUCCUUUACACACUCACACAACUUUCACACUGGGAAAAUACCUGUUCAGUUAAUUAGUCAAGCACACAAUACUUUCAUCCACAUUCACUUAGUACUAUUCCCAAACACACUCAGUAAUCUCCUGUAUAACUCGGUGUUACCUCCUAUGCAUACAUAUGUAUCUUCUGCGGUUCCUCUAUAGUCUCCAUAGUAGCCAUAGCCAUAGCCAUAGCCUCUACAGUAUCAACAGUCCCUGAGAAUCAAGCAUUAACAGUCCCUGAGCAUCUAUAGUCCCAAUAGCAUCCAUAGUCCCUAUAGGUACAGUUGUCAGAGCAGCUCACAGAUCACUGCACCUGUACAUAGCCUAUCUAUAAUUUAGCCCAAACAACUACCGCUUCCCCUACUGUAUUCAUUUAUUUAUUUAUUUCGCUCCUUUGCACUCCAUUAUUUCUAUUUCUACUUU
RNAcentral lists this long non-coding RNA (2985 nucleotides) under Salmo salar (Atlantic salmon). RNAcentral's name for it is "lncRNA (ENSSSAG00000086995.1)". Lineage: Eukaryota; Metazoa; Chordata; Actinopteri; Salmoniformes; Salmonidae. The record is from RNAcentral.